GGGCCUGUAGCUCAACGGUUAGAGCAGGGGACUCAUAAUCCCUUGGUUCCGGGUUCGAAUCCCGGCGGGCCCA
RNAcentral lists this transfer RNA (73 nucleotides) under Pseudomonadota bacterium. RNAcentral describes it as "tRNA-Ile". It matches the Rfam family "tRNA". Rfam says of the family: Transfer RNA (tRNA) molecules are approximately 80 nucleotides in length. Their secondary structure includes four short double-helical elements and three loops (D, anti-codon, and T loops). The record is from RNAcentral. Lineage: Bacteria; Pseudomonadati; Pseudomonadota. RNAcentral also lists the same sequence under 5 other names.